GGUCUAAGGCUGCCUCCAACAAGAGCCGCUAAAGUCUCCUGUCCGCUAAAUGUGAGGGACUGUCAGGUCCUCUACGCCUCCAACAAGGUCCUCUAAAGCGUCCCCUAAAUUAUAGAGGAUGUGCCAGAGACCCUAAAUGUGGAGGCCGCCCACCGUGCGCUAUCCGCGCGACGGAUCCACCGGCUGCCGCGAGGAAACUUCCGCCUCCUCCUACUCACUCACCCGUUGCCAUCGCCGGACGCGGAGCAUGGCGGAGGAGCAGAUCGAAGAGGCGUCCAUGGCCGCGGCGGUAGCGGUCCCCACCCACUCACUCACCCGUUGCCUCCAAACUCAUUUCUCCCGAGCGCCGCCGCGAGCCUCCGUUCCAGCUUCGUCCAUGGCUUCCCUCACCAGAUCCGCUCUCUCCUUUGCGAGGCCCAUCAAGAUAAAAAUGGCAUAAUGGAAUCCAGAGAAGGAUCUGCUUGCUAUGGUUACUGAUGACUCCAAGGUUCUUCUCCAUCGCUUCAAUUGGCAAAGGCUUUGGACAAUCUCUCCAGGGAAGUGCAUCACAUCAAUUUGUUGGAGCCCUGAUGGUAAAAUAAUAGCACUUGGCACAGAAGCUGGUUUGAUUCUUUUGCAUGAUGUGGAGGUGUGUAUCUGGAUGAUGAUAAAAAAUGUCGGUGUCUAUUGUAUCUUUGUAUGAACAUUCGUUUGUACUUCAUAGACACCUGAUCCAGUGCCUAUCUUCUCUUAAUAUUUUUCUAAUUGCUUAUUCUCAUUUUUAUAUCAUGCUUAAACCUUAUGAGCGAACUAUUAGGAGACAUUUAGGGGAUACAGGCCUCAAGGACUUCUUGCCCAAUUAUGUUUUCGAUAGAGGCAUUUUAAUACUUCUUGAA
Zea mays is the source of this 875-nucleotide long non-coding RNA. RefSeq lists it as uncharacterized. Lineage: Eukaryota; Viridiplantae; Streptophyta; Magnoliopsida; Poales; Poaceae. The record is from RefSeq and is a predicted model, not a curated record. The transcript is spliced from 3 exons.